RNAcentral lists this long non-coding RNA (277 nucleotides) under Homo sapiens (human). Its description in RNAcentral is "HSALNT0102345". The record is from RNAcentral. Lineage: Eukaryota; Metazoa; Chordata; Mammalia; Primates; Hominidae.
AAGAAGAAGGAGGAGGAGGAAGGAGAAGUAGGAGGAAGAUGAAAGAAGUUUGAGAAAGUGUUACAGAAAUGCUCAACCAUCUGUACCUAUUUUCUCAAAAUAUUUUAAUCUGAUGACUUCACCUCCACAUUUAUUUCUGGACACAGGAUAAUCAUUUCAUCAGGUUUUCCUCACCGUUUGCUCCGAAUCAACGGCUCCUUCAUUUUGUACACCCAUGAACAGGACUCUGUCCCUCUUUUGAGGCACACGGAAAUGACGAAGUUGAAAUAAAUUAAGA